GAUGAACGCUGGCGGCGUGCCUAAUACAUGCAAGUCGAGCGAACGGACGAGAAGCUUGCUUCUCUGAUGCUAGCGGCGGACGGGUGAGUAACACGUGGAUAACCUACCUAUAAGACUGGGAUAACUUCGGGAAACCGUAGCUAAUACCGGAUAAUAUUUUGAACCGCAUGGUUCAAAAGUGAAAGACGGUCUUGCUGUCACUUAUAGAUGGAUCCGCGCUGCAUUAGCUAGUUGGUAAGGUAACGGCUUACCAAGGCAACGAUGCAUAGCCGACCUGAGAGGGUGAUCGGCCACACUGGAACUGAGACACGGUCCAGACUCCUACGGGAGGCAGCAGUAGGGAAUCUUCCGCAAUGGGCGAAAGCCUGACGGAGCAACGCCGCGUGAGUGAUGAAGGUCUUCGGAUCGUAAAACUCUGUUAUUAGGGAAGAACAUAUGUGUAAGUAACUGUGCACAUCUUGACGGUACCUAAUCAGAAAGCCACGGCUAACUACGUGCCAGCAGCCGCGGUAAUACGUAGGUGGCAAGCGUUAUCCGGAAUUAUUGGGCGUAAAGCGCGCGUAGGCGGUUUUUUAAGUCUGAUGUGAAAGCCCACGGCUCAACCGUGGAGGGUCAUUGGAAACUGGAAAACUUGAGUGCAGAAGAGGAAAGUGGAAUUCCAUGUGUAGCGGUGAAAUGCGCAGAGAUAUGGAGGAACACCAGUGGCGAAGGCGACUUUCUGGUCUGUAACUGACGCUGGUGUGCGAAAGCGUGGGGAUCAAACAGGAUUAGAUACCCUGGUAGUCCACGCCGUAAACGAUGAGUGCUAAGUGUUAGGGGGUUUCCGCCCCUUAGUGCUGCAGCUAACGCAUUAAGCACUCCGCCUGGGGAGUACGACCGCAAGGUUGAAACUCAAAGGAAUUGACGGGGACCCGCACAAGCGGUGGAGCAUGUGGUUUAAUUCGAGGCAACGCGAAGAACCUUACCAAAUCUUGACAUCCUUUGACAACUCUAGAGAUAGAGCCUUCCCCUUCGGGGGACAAAGUGACAGGUGGUGCAUGGUUGUCGUCAGCUCGUGUCGUGAGAUGUUGGGUUAAGUCCCGCAACGAGCGCAACCCUUAAGCUUAGUUGCCAUCAUUAAGUUGGGCACUCUAAGUUGACUGCCGGUGACAAACCGGAGGAAGGUGGGGAUGACGUCAAAUCAUCAUGCCCCUUAUGAUUUGGGCUACACACGUGCUACAAUGGACAAUACAAAGGGCAGCGAAACCGCGAGGUCAAGCAAAUCCCAUAAAGUUGUUCUCAGUUCGGAUUGUAGUCUGCAACUCGACUACAUGAAGCUGGAAUCGCUAGUAAUCGUAGAUCAGCAUGCUACGGUGAAUACGUUCCCGGGUCU
RNAcentral lists this ribosomal RNA (1372 nucleotides) under uncultured bacterium. Its description in RNAcentral is "bacterial SSU rRNA". It matches the Rfam family "Bacterial small subunit ribosomal RNA", at positions 28 to 1381 of the family's 1533-position model. The record is from RNAcentral.